RNAcentral lists this ribosomal RNA (570 nucleotides) under Melampsora sp. TSH-R950630. RNAcentral's name for it is "eukaryotic LSU rRNA". It matches the Rfam family "Eukaryotic large subunit ribosomal RNA", at positions 88 to 641 of the family's 3401-position model. RNAcentral also lists the same sequence under 3 other names. The record is from RNAcentral. Lineage: Eukaryota; Fungi; Basidiomycota; Pucciniomycetes; Pucciniales; Melampsoraceae.
GGCGAGUGAACAGGGAAAAGCCCAAAUUUGUAAUCUGGCACUUUUUACAAGUGUCCGAGUUGUAAUUUGUAGAGCUGUUAUCCGUACUGGACCAUGUACAAGUCUGUUGAAAAGCAGCAUCAUUGAAGGUGAAAAUCCUGUAGAUGAUAUGGACUACCAGUAUAUUUGUGAUACGGUUUCUAAGAGUCGAGUUGUUUGGGAAUGCAGCUCAAAGUGGGUGGUAAAUUCCAUCUAAGGCUAAAUAUAAGUGAGAGACCGAUAGCAAACAAGUACCGUGAGGGAAAGAUGAAAAGAACUUUGAAAAUAGAGUUAACAGUACGUGAAAUUGCUGAAAGGGAAACGUUUGAAGUUAGUUUUGUAUUCGUUGGAUCAGCUUCGCAAGGAGUGUAUUCUGAUGAUAAGCAAGUCAACAUCAGUCUAUGAGUGUUGGAUAAGGGUUUUGAGAAUGUAGCAAUUUAAUUGUGUUAUAGCUUGAGACUUGGAUACGAUGCUUUGGAUUGAGGAACGCGUAGUAAGCUUUGAGCGGAUUCGAAAGGAUCUCCUUACUAUGGAUGUUGGUGAAAUAACUUU